RNAcentral lists this ribosomal RNA (253 nucleotides) under uncultured bacterium. Its description in RNAcentral is "partial 16S ribosomal RNA". It matches the Rfam family "Bacterial small subunit ribosomal RNA", at positions 524 to 776 of the family's 1533-position model. The record is from RNAcentral.
UACGGAGGGUGCAAGCGUUAUCCGGAUUCACUGGGUUUAAAGGGUGCGUAGGUGGGCAGGUAAGUCAGUGGUGAAAUCUCCGGGCUUAGCUCGGAAACUGCCAUUGAUACUAUCUGUCUUGAAUACCGUGGAGGUCAGCGGAAUAUGUCAUGUAGCGGUGAAAUGCUUAGAUAUGACAUAGAACACCAAUUGCGAAGGCAGCUGGCUACACGAAUAUUGACACUGAUGCACGAAAGCGUGGGGAUCAAACAGG